This is a long non-coding RNA of Pipra filicauda (Wire-tailed manakin), 1265 nucleotides long. RefSeq lists it as uncharacterized. NCBI's taxonomy places the organism in Eukaryota, Metazoa, Chordata, Aves, Passeriformes, Pipridae. The record is from RefSeq and is a predicted model, not a curated record. The transcript is spliced from 8 exons.
GCCCUCUGUUCCCACCCCAGGCCCCCCUCCUGGGAUCUUUGCAGGUGGUACCUGCUGUGUGCUGGAGCAUCCCGGACUCCUCCAUGGUGCUGACCACAUCCGAGCAGCCCUGGCAUGAGCAGCAGAGUGGAGGUGGCACAGAGGAGACCAGGGAAUGUGCUCUGGCACAGAGAAAGCUUCCCUGUGUUCUGGAGAAGUGGAGGCAAGGAUCCUGCCUCACAGCCCUCCUCUGCAUCAGCCUCCCAGGCAGGAGCUGUGGCUCCCACGUGGAGGAAUCCCAGUGAUGGAUCACUGCUGGCAGUGGAGAACUCGUCUAUGCCCCAGGUCUGUUCAGGGUCUGGCAGGAGCCAAGGGACAGCAGAGCCCCCACAACCCCCAGCUCAUCUUCUCCAUCCCUGCAGCAGCAAGGCACGACAGAUCCUUCCUCUGACCAUUUAAAGUCUUUCAGGAUGUGAGGAUGACAGUUGCAGCUUCAGUCCCGGGUCGCUGCUGACCCUCUGCACACCCGGGGGUCCCACAUUCCACAGGAAUCUCUGGCUCUGGGAUAUUUGUGACAGGAGGAGGAGAAGGAGGUGGUGGCUGCUGCAGCGAGAGCAACGGGGCCGCUGAGAAGCAGAGGCUGUGAGCUGGUAUUAACAGUGGGGCCAAUUAAGGAGACCAGGAAUUAAAUCAGUCUGAUACCUGUUUGGGCUCUUCCAGCUUCUCUCCUGCAUGGGCUGCUGCUCCAGAGCACAGGAGAGUGUCUGCCCAGAGCCUCUGUCCAGGAACAGCCCUGGGCACCCUGUGGUGGCAGGAAUGCUCUGCCCAUGGGCACAGGCCAGCACAGCCAGGGCAGGAGGUCUGGGGAAGAAUUUUGUGAAGAAACCCCUGUUUCUUGAUUGUCUCCUCCCAGCUGUUCACCAUGUGAUGAUUCCAGCUGCCUGCCAGGGGCAAAGCCACCGAUGGAUGUACAAAUAUCCAGCUUUGCUCUGGCCUUUCCUGUGGAUGCUCCAAGGAACCUUCAGACGGGACUGAAGCAGAGGACACUCUGGAAGGCAAAUCCCUGCUCUGCAUGUGAGAGCAAACCAGAGCCCUGUGUGGGGUUUUCUCGAGAUUUAGCAAGAAUCCUGAUAAGAAACUCUGGCUCCAGUGCUGUCAGUCCAGCUCCCCCAGCUCCAGGGCUUUGCUCCUCGUCUCCCUUAAGCCAGAGGGCUCAGCUCCAUGGCUUGACUGACACGAAGCGUUCCAGCAUCAGAGACUGAGAGACAAACGAGCAAUUUGCCGAG